CUACUUAAGGCAACUUCCCUUUCUCUUUCUCAGGUAACUUCCCCCUCUUUUUCUCGGUUAUCCUCUCUACUCUGUCUUUUUUUUCUUCUCAGUGCCGAUAUAUCUUCCUAAAAUUAUUUAAAGGAGGCAAAGACGUUACAUAUUGCAGAUUUGCUUAUUAGGUAAGUCAAAAAAAUUAUAAUUUAAUUGUUUUAUUUAUAAAUAUAGGAGUUAAUUUUUAUUGAUAUAUUCGAUCCACCACAAACAUCUAUUUUUUUUUCACAAAUUAUGUUAUCAAACUUUUUCACACCGC
This 292-nucleotide long non-coding RNA is filed under the name Ananas comosus (pineapple). RNAcentral's name for it is "long non-coding RNA (ACOM_LNC014693)". The record is from RNAcentral. Lineage: Eukaryota; Viridiplantae; Streptophyta; Magnoliopsida; Poales; Bromeliaceae.